GGGUGAACCUGCUGCUGGAUCAUUACA
Molecule: ribosomal RNA, 27 nt
Filed under: Rotylenchulus macrosoma
Lineage: Eukaryota; Metazoa; Nematoda; Chromadorea; Rhabditida; Hoplolaimidae
Description: partial 18S ribosomal RNA
Source: RNAcentral